This is a long non-coding RNA of Felis catus (domestic cat), 934 nucleotides long. RefSeq lists it as uncharacterized. Lineage: Eukaryota; Metazoa; Chordata; Mammalia; Carnivora; Felidae. The transcript is spliced from 3 exons. The record is from RefSeq and is a predicted model, not a curated record.
UGGGGAGGGACUCUUAGUAAAAAUGCAGAUUAUCAGCCCCUGAAUAAUCAAACUUAGUAAAUCUGGGAUGGGCAAUUCUUUUUUUUUUAAAGUUUAUUAAUUUAUUUUAUUUGAGAGAGAGAGAGAGAGAGCGAGAGAGAACGUGUGCCUGUGAGCAGGAGAGGGGCAGAGAGAGAGGGAGAGAGAGAAUCGUAAGCAAGCUCUGUGCCAUCACCUUAGAGCCCGAUGCACAGCUUGAUCCCAUGAAUCAUGAGAUCGCGACCUGAGCCGAAAUCAAGAGUCAGAUGCAUAACUGACUGAGCCACCCGUGUGCCCCUGGGAUGGGUAAUUCUUAUGGCCAGAAAAGGUUAGGAAAUACUGCUCUAUUCCAUGCUCAUCACAAUGUGUUGCAACUGUCUCUGUUGGUGGCCAUGGUAACCAUCUGGCCUGCUGGACUGUCUCUUGAGGGCAGUACCACAUCUACCUCCAUAGCACAUAGAGCAAUGUCUGGCACGUACAUUGAAUAAAAGAGUCAAUCAACGGAGAAACCAUGCAUCAUUUGAAUGACUUCACAGUCCAGAGAGUUCUGGCUUACUCAUCAUGCUAUUACUCCCUGCCAAGGUAGCUUCACCUACAUUAUGAAAAUAAUGUGUGCAUCUGGCUAAAGAAUCCAAACAGUUCAGAAAAGUGCAAAACACAAAGCAGAAAUCUCCUUUUCCCGCUCUGUCCUCGUCUCCCAUCCCGCGAGCAUCUGGAGGCAGGAGUCAUGGAAAUGGUUGGUAGUAAAGGUCAAGAUCACAUUGGGGGAGAGCUGAAAUCAAAUAACAUUAUCUGAUACUGUGGUGCGAGAACAUGGACAUCCGAGGGAGAGAAUGUUUGGGGUUUGGGUUGGAGUCCUUUCCCUGUCAUGUAUCCACUCACAACCUUAGCGAGUAAAUGACUUUUCUGAGUUUCC